Non-coding RNA from Lupinus albus (white lupine), 74 nucleotides. The record is from the annotation of a GenBank genome assembly. Lineage: Eukaryota; Viridiplantae; Streptophyta; Magnoliopsida; Fabales; Fabaceae.
GCUCUCGUAGCUUAGUUGGUUAAAGCACUUGUUUUGUAAGUGGGAGGUCUUUAGUUCAACUAUCAACGAGAGCA